UUAUUUCAUUUAGAAAUAAACUUAGCUGAAAAUGUGAAUCAGCUAGAAUUCAAACUUGGGCCUCGGGUACCAACCACCAAACCCUUUGCCACUUGCCGCUUCGUUUAUUUCAUUUAGAAAUAAACUUAGCUGAAAAUGUGAAUCAACUAGAAUUCAAAUUUAGGUCUCGGAUACCAACCACCAAGCCCUUUGCCACUUGCUCUAGAGAUGGUCGGUGAAGCAGCAUAUUCUUGUGGAGAUUAGAGAGACAAGGGGAGAGGGGAAGGAAAAAAAAAAAACCGUUUUAAGUUUAUUUUUUUAAGCAUUUUUUUGGAUUUUUUUAUAAUUUUUAAGUUUAUUUUUUAUGAAAAUAAU
RNAcentral lists this long non-coding RNA (354 nucleotides) under Ananas comosus (pineapple). RNAcentral's name for it is "long non-coding RNA (ACOM_LNC036055)". The record is from RNAcentral. Lineage: Eukaryota; Viridiplantae; Streptophyta; Magnoliopsida; Poales; Bromeliaceae.